AGGAGAGCUCUGCAGCAUCACUGCUGUGCAUUACGAGAGGUUAUCGUGCCUUGCUUUGCUCUUAGAGCCUUGCAGAGAAGUCAGGGACACUCUCACAUGCCAUCUUUCCCGGGGGGAGGGCAGCCAGGAAAACACUGUAGCUGGUAUUUAGAGCAAGCAAGCCCAGGAAUCAGGACAGCGGCCUGAUUUUGCCUGUGUCACCUCCAGUGAGCCCGGGACGAGCCACUGGAGGAGGAACGCUGGGGAAAACGAAGUUGUAGCGCCGCAGUUCCAGCAGAGAGCAGCAUCUGCAUGUGGAAAAUGCUGCUCUCUCCAGCCAGCGCGUCCUGCUCCCUCUCUUACCGAGCCCGGGAAUGUCACCCUGUCCCCUCCUCCGUGGUUCACAGGUGCGUGGAUUACAAGCGACCUCUUUGGGGAGAUUUUUACAUCACCUUUCUCAUCCCUGUCCUGUUGCCAACGUGCGUGACAGAAGUCAGUAAGGCCUUUGAGAUAACUGGAUCUUCUUGCUGUGUCGAGAUGCAUGCAGGUCUGACACAGGAGCACCAAUGCAGAUUCCUCCAAGCAGUGAGUGCUGUAGCAGACACCUGUAGUUCCUUCACACUGAGUAGAACAUCCAUCUUUGUGGUGUCCAUCAGAUAGCAGAGCCUGGGUUCAAUAUGGAAAAAGCACAUAUACCAGGGAAAGUAUUAAUAACCUUCCUGUCUAGCCAUCAAGAAAACCACUUCCCAGAUAGUGUUCCCAUAAAUACUUGUUGGAAUAAUUCUGAAGAUCUGGUAUUUUUCAGCUGAUAAAAUUAUUAAUAGUCUAAGAAAGAGCAGGUAAUAAUUUUGACAAACUCGGGAAAGCCAACGUGGCUUUUAUAAUGGACAGUCUUGUCUUCCAAAAUUUACUAUAAUUCUCUGAAGACAUCCAUGUGUUAAUGGUGUUAAUUCAGUUGGCGUAACUUACCUGGAUUUCCAAAGGUCUUCUAAAAAUCCUUCAUAAAAAGUUUAUAAGAAAGCUGAGCAGUGAUGGGAUAAAGGGAAAGGCCCCC
RNAcentral lists this long non-coding RNA (1033 nucleotides) under Zonotrichia albicollis (white-throated sparrow). RNAcentral's name for it is "lncRNA (ENSZALG00000010902.1)". The record is from RNAcentral. Lineage: Eukaryota; Metazoa; Chordata; Aves; Passeriformes; Passerellidae.